This 869-nucleotide long non-coding RNA is filed under the name Bos indicus x Bos taurus (hybrid cattle). RNAcentral's name for it is "lncRNA (ENSBIXG00000022165.1)". Lineage: Eukaryota; Metazoa; Chordata; Mammalia; Artiodactyla; Bovidae. The record is from RNAcentral.
GCAGGCUCUCCCCCGGGAGCCUGCUCAGACCUGCCUUCCUCACAAAGCUCGGUAGCAACUCCCUGGGGCAGAAAAUGUCUCUUCUGAAAGCAAGACAAGAGUUUAAUUAAGCCCUAAACGCACACAGUUGAGCCUGAAAUUAGGGUGGUGAUGGGAGGGGGAGAAGGCAAUCGAGGACGGUGGGUAGCGGGGUGGGCUUCAACGCACUUCUGGCCCAGCUGAGCCAAACAAGCCUACAAGCAAACAUUUACAGAGCCUGUGGGCGUGGCUACAAAGCCUCUCUGACCUGGAGAGGGGAGAAUGCCACGUUUCCUGUCCUGUUUGGGCUCUCCCCAGGUUGUUGCUCAGACAGUCAAACCACAGCCUCCUCCUCUACCUGGCAAUUAAUCCUGCUGUGCCCUGCAACCUGGGUUGGGUCUUACUCUGCCAGGGACUGAAGCAAGAAGAGACGGGCCACCGGGCGUGUUAUCGCUUGUCUCUGGGGCAGAGAAGCGGUUGCAACAGAGCCCCUGCGUGCGUGUGGACGUGCCUGCGUGGAGCAAUGAGCACACCAAGACAGAGGUUCAGUAUCUUGCCGAAAGUUGAGAGGAGAAGCUACGAAUAAGACCAGCUCUGGCUCCCAAUCCACCCCACAGCUUUUGAUGGUACUCAGUGGUACACCCUUGGACCCCGAUGGUGUGGGCAGUUCUCCCACAGGUCUGGCCCGAGUCUCUCCUACUCUCGUCUGAAUUGGAUCAGAUGGAAGGACCAUGUCAGUAGGUCGGUUCUGCUCCCAACCCAGCCUCAAGAGACAUCACCCAUCCCUUGGUACAGGUGGUAGCCUUCCAGUUACUGGGGUGGGGAUGUUUGCCUUCUGUUAAUGAAAAGAA